Long non-coding RNA from Mytilus californianus (California mussel), 1821 nucleotides. RefSeq lists it as uncharacterized. NCBI's taxonomy places the organism in Eukaryota, Metazoa, Mollusca, Bivalvia, Mytilida, Mytilidae. The record is from RefSeq and is a predicted model, not a curated record. The transcript is spliced from 5 exons.
GAGACACGCCAUAUCAGUUGUAGCGGACCUGUUUUCAGGUGGAAGUAUGUUCCAGAAUCUCUUAGUAUAGCACCAAUGAAGGUUAGCUCUGAGCAGUAUAACGAAAUAAUCAAAACAAUUUCUUCAAAACAUCUGGUUAUAGGACGACAUUGUAGAAAUCUUUGGUGGCCGACAAUAUGUUUCGCGUUUACCAUUGUCAUCCCAACACUAGGCUUCGGACUUGCAUUUAGCAUUCUUCAGUUCGAUGUAGGAUCUGAUUAUUAUAAGGCGGGUGCUAUCCUGUUGGCAUUCCCUGCUGUAGUAGUGCUGUGGUUAGCUAUGUGUGGAUGCUCGGAUUAUUGGGGACGACGUGCGAUGAAAAUCACUUUGCGCGAGGUUAACAGGAAACUUCUACCAAAUAAGGUCAUGAUCACUUAUAAAAGACAAAGAACGACUGCUACAUUUACUGUAUCCACUUAUGCUACGAUUUAAAAACUUGUGUGUGCCCUCUACUUUUUUCUUUUCAUUAUUUUUGCUCUAAAUGUUCCUUUUUAAAGAAACUCGUUCUAUCUUGUAAUGUAGCAAGAAAUAGCAUUGUUGAAUUCAAUAUCGUAUCGGACAGAAGAAUUAACGAAAAAAAAAAUGUGAGGAUUCUACCAGUCCGGUAGCCUAAUUGAAUGAAUACUAGUAGACUAAAUAAUAAUAUACUGGAUGACACGUCGCCCAGGAUAAAAAUGUGUCUAUUGGAUGUUGGCAAGGACAUAACAACCCAAUUUUAUCAGGUGUCCCCAGGAAGAUCUUAAAUGAUGUAAUGAAAAUGACACAUGUGCAGUCUUCUGAUUACUCUUUGUACUAUAAAAUUCAGACAAGUUUGUUUUACAUUUGGCCCUGUACUGUUCAACUUUCAGAUAUUUUAGAUUUCAAUGACAACUUUUAAUUUUGCUCUAUUUCCAAAUGUACAGGUAACCAAAAAAAAUGUAAAAUCUGUGCUGUACUAAUAUCUGAUAACUUGACCACCAAAAGUUACAAUACACAGAGUCAUGAGGAUUUAUCCCUCUUAUAGUUUAUGUGUUACAGUUUCCCUCGGUUUUAAUUUGUAACCCGGAAUUGUUUUUUUCACAAUCGAUUUUUGACUUUUGAAAAGCGGUAUACUACUGUUGCGCUUUUUUACGUUCUUGCGAAAGAACGAAGAGAGAAAAGGGACAGGCCAAGACCUCAUUAUUCAAGACUUUCUUCAGAACGUUCAGUUGAGUUUUAUUUAACAUAAUACGUUUUCCACAAUUACAGAGCUAGGUAGAAUGGUACCCACCAUUACAACGCGUAAGAAAGUGUUGUACAAAAAUGACAUAUCACUGCAUAUAGCAUUUCCUUAACUUGAUAUCCGAUUUGUUUUGUUUUCUUUGACAUGACAUCAUGUGUAAAUCACAUGGCAGCAGAACUACACAACAAAUGAAUCCGAGAGAGUCAAAACCGUGAAAUGGUAGUUCUUAAUAUGAAUGACGAUGAUGAUGAGGCACUAUUAGAUGAUAUAACUGGGGAUUCAAUUACAUGUGACGAACAGGAGUUGGCUACUAAUGACCUGUUGGAUUUAUCCAGUGCCUACCUAAUGGCCUAUAUGAAUGAAAAACUAGACAAUGCUGUAGACAAUACAAGGCAUGCAACAAAGGCAAAAUGUAUUUGUCAAUUUGCUGAGUCACUUGAAAUCAAAACAAACACAGAUGUGUGAAGACGGAGAACAGAUAAUGCAUACAUGUACUCUGCCUUUAUCUAUCUAUCUAUAUCUUUUGAUGUAAAUUCAGUACUGUAUAUCCAAAUCUAAAUACAAUGACACAUUAACUGUUA